CCUGGGUAUUCAGAGGGGACGAUGCCAGUCCAGAUAACAGUCCCAGGUGUCUUAGUAAAAGGCCAAGGCCUGUAGCUGUUCGUGAACGAACUGUAAGGAUUGCUAAAGGCACUGGUGAUUACCCCUGGGGAUUCAGAAUCCAGUUCUCAAAGCCCAUCCUGGUGACUGAAGUGGACACCAACAGUGCAGCAGAAGAAGCAGGCCUUCAGAUUGGAGAUAUUGUCUUGGCUGUCAACGGCACUGAUGUCACCAGCAUACCACAUUCAGAAGCUGC
This is a long non-coding RNA of Varanus komodoensis (Komodo dragon), 274 nucleotides long. RefSeq lists it as uncharacterized. NCBI's taxonomy places the organism in Eukaryota, Metazoa, Chordata, Lepidosauria, Squamata, Varanidae. The transcript has 3 exons. The record is from RefSeq and is a predicted model, not a curated record.